This 459-nucleotide long non-coding RNA is filed under the name Nicotiana benthamiana. RNAcentral's name for it is "long non-coding RNA (NBEN_LNC013945)". The record is from RNAcentral. Lineage: Eukaryota; Viridiplantae; Streptophyta; Magnoliopsida; Solanales; Solanaceae.
UUGAAUCCCCAACAGAGUUACAUAUUUUUUCUUGGUAAAAACAAACAUGCAAGUUCAUUUGGGAACUCAAAUCGAUUUUUGACCGUCUUCUCAAAAUAGGUCGAUUUUAGAUUUAAAAUUUAAGAAGUUUCAGAGUUGUUUGAAGGAAAUAGGGUUCAAUUUUGGGCAGAGGAGGCAAAGAGGAGUAUAGGGUGUGUUUUUGGUGUCCAUUAGAGUCGACACCGCUGUGGGGGGCAGAGCAGCCGCUCCUUUGGACGAAUAUUCGUUGAGCUAGGCUGGGGUUUGAGGGUUGAUCUUUGGGGGAUUGGAAAGAGGAGAAGACGGGGAACGGAUGGCGUUAAUUUGGGUAGAUUUGGAGUUAUGCCACUAGCGACGGUGAUUUCCGGCCGGCGACGGACGGUAGAGGGACAGAGGUUUACGGUGGUGUUACACCGGUGGUCAGUUCGUACGAGAAAGGAG